GAUUCUGGCUCAGGAUGAACGCUAGCGGCAGGCUAACACAUGCAAGUCGAGGGGCAUCGGGAGUAGCAAUACUUGCCGGCGACCGGCGCAAGGGUGCGUAACGCGUGAGCAACAUGCCCGUAUCAGGGGGAUAAUCCAUGGAAACGUGGUCUAAUACCCCAUAGUAAUUAUGUAAGGCAUCUUAUAUAAUUUAAAGCUUUGGUGGAUACGGAUUGGCUCGCGUGACAUUAGCUGGAUGGUAAGGUAACGGCUUACCAUGGCUACGAUGUCUAGGGGUUCUGAGAGGAAGGUCCCCACACUGGAACUGAGACACGGUCCAGACUCCUACGGGAGGCAGCAGUGAGGAAUAUUGGACAAUGGAUGGAAAUCUGAUCCAGCCAUGCCGCGUGCAGGAAGACGGCCCUAUGGGUUGUAAACUGCUUUUGUAUGGGAGCAAUAAGGGCUACGUGUAGUCCGAUGAGAGUACCAUACGAAUAAGCACCGGCUAACUCCGUGCCAGCCGCCGC
Molecule: ribosomal RNA, 506 nt
Filed under: uncultured bacterium
Lineage: Bacteria
Description: bacterial SSU rRNA
Rfam family: Bacterial small subunit ribosomal RNA
Source: RNAcentral